CUUCACUUUAGUUCAGCUGCACUUGGCUCUGAUGCUCCAUUAAACUACAUGCAAACCGGCAGCCUUCAGUCUAUAGUAUAAAACUUAAAAACAGAGACAUCAUCAAGCAGUCAUACUGAUCACACAGUCGCCUCUAACACAGUAAUCAACAACCCCACUGAGGAAUCGAUUUAUGGAACUCAAGUUCUGCCCCACAUCCCGUCCAUCAUGUGGCAUCAUGAUCAAUGGCCUGUUCUAAAGAGCAACUGACCUGGAAAGUUAACCGGGACUCUUGUUAGACUCUACCAGAACACAUAUGGAGGGUUUGUUCACUAUGUCUCCACCAGCAAGACUGCAUUUUCACUUUUGACAGGUGUCUCCAUAUUCAGAAAACGGGCGGUGCAUCUGCAUGUUUUAAUAGCUGUAUGCAUUUGUUCCUGCAGAGCCGAGAGAGUGUUUGAGAAAGUGUGUCACCCUCACAGAGUUCAGCCACUCGUCAUGGGAGGUAAAUGCAUUUAGGGCAACUGUGCAAGAGAGGACUAGGGCGUGAAAGCUAUCGAAAUCUGGCCAGCCCAGCUCAUCAUGGUCCAGUUUUCUAUGCACACCAAUAAUGGAGGCGAAAAUGCAAAACGGCUCAUCGAAAACAGGACGAGGGGUUACAGUCAAUGGGACUGUGUCCACCCUGAAGAGGCAGCCGAGGCCCAAGACUGCGUCAGGCAGGCAGGAACGUGGCUCCUGUUCUUCAACAGCCUCUUGUCCAGUGUUCUCUGGAUGCCAGAGCGACCUGGACGAAGAGCUGCAGCCACGCUGUCCAUCCAGCCUUUCCUCACCCUCCCUGCACAGGCCUGGUUCCACCUCCAAUCUGAAGGGCUCCGUCUCCAGCCUGCAAGGUUCCUUGUCAAGCCUAAAGGGUUCGGUGGUAAGCCUCAAGAGCUUUCCUACCUCCUCGACACUGCAGAGCUCCAGUCUCAGCCUGCGGAGUUCCAGCCCGAGCCUCCGGAGCUCCAGCUCCAGCCAGCGCAGCUCCAGUGAGGACGACAGCUGGGACACCAACAGCUGGAGCUCCGGAGCCACAUGUCUGCUGCGCAGCUCUAUUAAGCAGCACAGCGAGGAGGUUUUCCGGGUACGUGCUGUCUCUGUGAGUCGACCUGAGGGCACGAGUGAUUCCGAGACAGGCUACCAGAACUCCGACAGCUGCCAGGGCAGUGUGGUGGGAUCGGAGAGCCAGGAGGGAGCGGAGCAGGUCGAUGUGGGGCGGAGAGAUUCGUCAUCAAGUCAGGGCACCUCUGUUGCUUCAACCACAUCAUCCAACUUAGAGCAGAAGAUUGAAGAGAAGCUCAAGUUUUCUCAGUUUCUUGAUGAGGUUACAUGUAGGGUCCUGGAACCCGAGUGUCUACAAGCUUUCGGUGUGCCCAUUCGUCAGAAGGAGUCGCCUUGUCCACAAACAUCAUCUCCCCAAUGCCUAAACUUAACCCCAGUUUCCAGUCCUUGGUUUGGUUCCAGUAGGGAUUCUACCUGUAAUUCCAGGGACAGUAAUGUGUACAAGUGGGCCAAGUGCAUGCCAAGCUGCAAGAUUCUGGAUGCCAGCGAAACCCUGAGAAGAACUCAAGAGGAAAUGGAAAUGUUAGGAAGGACCUACCUAGAGACUGACAUAGACAGAGUAAGGAGGGAAGAUGAAGUGAGUUCCACACAUCUACGAGACGUGGAGAAGAGAACUUUACAGACGAGUGGAAAAUCUUCUCGCGGAUGCCCGAGUCCUGUUUUAAAGCGCUCAGACGGGGCACCGCAGCCACCGCACCGCACCACCUCGCUCCCGAGACCUGCUGUGAGUGGCAUCAUGGUCUCUGAUGGAAACGCGAGCAGCAGCAGGUAA
Cyprinus carpio (common carp) is the source of this 1852-nucleotide long non-coding RNA. The record is from Ensembl. NCBI's taxonomy places the organism in Eukaryota, Metazoa, Chordata, Actinopteri, Cypriniformes, Cyprinidae.